GUGAAUCAUCGAAUUUUUGAACGCAAAUUGCACUCUCUUCGGAGAGUAUGCCUGUUUGAGGGUCAGCCUAAAAAAAAUCGACAUAGUCGCUGUUUCGCGGUGACAUUCGUCGGAAAUUGGGUCAUCUUAAACCUUUUGGUUUAAGCGGCUUAAAAUUUUCCUUUCGAAUCCACGAAAGUUUCUAAGAUUUACUUAACAGUUUAAAGUAAUG
This 211-nucleotide unclassified non-coding RNA is filed under the name Glomus sp. Its description in RNAcentral is "partial contains 5.8S ribosomal RNA and internal transcribed spacer 2". The stretch from base 1 to 65 matches the Rfam family "5.8S ribosomal RNA", at positions 84 to 154 of the family's 154-position model. Lineage: Eukaryota; Fungi; Glomeromycota; Glomeromycetes; Glomerales; Glomeraceae. The record is from RNAcentral.